UGGGGAAUUUUGGACAAUGGGCGCAAGCCUGAUCCAGCAAUGCCGCGUGCAGGAUGAAGGCCUUCGGGUUGUAAACUGCUUUUGUACGGAGCGAAAAGGUCUGCCCUAAUACGGUGGGCUCAUGACGGUACCGUAAGAAUAAGCACCGGCUAACUACGUGCCAGCAGCCGCGGUAAUACGUAGGGUGCGAGCGUUAAUCGGAAUUACUGUGCGUAAAGCGUGCGCAGGCGGUUAUAUAAGACAGAUGUGAAAGACCAGGGCUCAACCUGGGACCUACAUUUGUGACUGUAUAGCUAGAGUACGGUAGGGGGGGAUAGAAUUCAGCGUGUAGCAGUGAAAUGAAUAGAUAUGCAGAAGAACACCGAUGGCGAAGGCAAUCCCCCGGACCUGUACUGACGCUCAUGCACGAAAGAGUGGGGAGCAAACA
This 427-nucleotide ribosomal RNA is filed under the name uncultured bacterium. RNAcentral describes it as "bacterial SSU rRNA". It matches the Rfam family "Bacterial small subunit ribosomal RNA", at positions 355 to 774 of the family's 1533-position model. The record is from RNAcentral.